AAUGUCGAACACAAAGGGAAAGAGGAAAGGCACCUGAUAUAUGUUCUCUAGGCUUUUUAGAAAACAUGGAGUUGUUUUUUUGGCCACGUGUAUGCAAAUCUAUAAGAAAGGUGACAUUAUAGACAUCAAGGGAAUGGGUACUGUUCAAAAAGGAAGGCCCCGCAAGUAUUACCAUGGCUAAACUGAAAGAGUCUACGGUGUUACCCAGCAUGCUGUUGGCAUUGUUAUAAACACACAAGUUAAGGGCAAGAUUCUUGCCAAGAAAAUUAAUGUACGUAUUGAGCACAUUAAGCACUCUAAGAGCCAAGAUAGCUUCCUGAAACACGUGAAGGAAAAUGAUCAGAAAAAGAAGGAAGCUGGCGGCACAGUAGCUCACGCCUGUAAUCCUAACACUUUGGGAGGCCGAGGCAGGCGGAUCACCUGAGGUCAGGAGUUUGAGACCAACCUGGCCAACAUGGUGAAAUCCCGUCUCUACUAAAAUACAAAAAUUAGCCGGGGAUGGUGGCAGCCACCUGUAAUCCCAGCUACUCAGGAGGCUGAGGCAGGGAGAAUUGUUCGAAUCCAGGAGGUGGAAGUUGCAGUGAGCCGAGGUUGGCCCACUGCACUCCAGCCUGGGCGACAGAGCAAGACUCUGUCUUAAAAAAAAAAAAAAAAAAAAGAAGGAAGCCAAACAGAAAGAUACCUGGGUCCAACUGAAGCACCAGCCUGCACCACCCAGAGAAGCACACUUUGUGAGAACCAAUGGGAAGGAGCCUGAGCUGCUGGAACCUGUUCCCUAUGAAUUCAUGGCA
Molecule: long non-coding RNA, 791 nt
Filed under: Homo sapiens (human)
Lineage: Eukaryota; Metazoa; Chordata; Mammalia; Primates; Hominidae
Description: non-protein coding lnc-CTDSPL-3:1
Source: RNAcentral